GACAGAGGGGGCAAGCGUUGUUCGGAAUUACUGGGCGUAAAGGGCGCGUAGGCGGCCUUCUAAGUCGAACGUGAAAUCCCCGGGCUCAACCCGGGAACUGCGUCCGAUACUGGAAGGCUUGAAUCCGGGAGAGGGAUGCGGAAUUCCAGGUGUAGCGGUGAAAUGCGUAGAUAUCUGGAGGAACACCGGUGGCGAAGGCGGCAUCCUGGACCGGUAUUGACGCUGAGGCGCGAAAGCCAGGGGAGCAAACGGG
Molecule: ribosomal RNA, 253 nt
Filed under: uncultured bacterium
Lineage: Bacteria
Description: partial 16S ribosomal RNA
Rfam family: Bacterial small subunit ribosomal RNA
Source: RNAcentral